UACGUAGGAUGCAAGCGGUGUCCGGAUUUAUUGGGUUUAAAGGGUGCGAAGGCGGCCUAUUAAGUUAGUGGUGAAAACGUUCGCCUUAACCGGAUACCCGCCAUUGAUACUGAUAGACUUGAGUGCGACAGAGGGUGUUGGAAUGUGUGGUGUAGCGGUGAAAUGCUUAGAUAUCACGCAGAACACCAAUUGCGAAGGCAGAUGCCUAUGUCGUAACUGACGCUGAGGCACGAAAGCGUGGGGAGCAAACAGG
Molecule: ribosomal RNA, 253 nt
Filed under: uncultured bacterium
Lineage: Bacteria
Description: partial 16S ribosomal RNA
Rfam family: Bacterial small subunit ribosomal RNA
Source: RNAcentral